RNAcentral lists this ribosomal RNA (253 nucleotides) under uncultured bacterium. RNAcentral's name for it is "partial 16S ribosomal RNA". It matches the Rfam family "Bacterial small subunit ribosomal RNA", at positions 524 to 776 of the family's 1533-position model. The record is from RNAcentral.
UACGAAGGGGGCUAGCGUUGCUCGGAAUCACUGGGCGUAAAGCGCACGUAGGCGGGUCUUUAAGUCAGGGGGGAAAUCCUGGAGCUCAACUCCAGAACUGCCUUUGAUACUGAGGAUCACGAGUCCGGGAGAGGUGAGUGGAACUCCGAGUGUAGAGGUGAAAUUCGUAGAUAUUCGGAAGAACACCAGUGGCGAAGGCGGCUCACUGGCCCGGUACUGACGCUGAGGUGCGAAAGCGUGGGGAGCAAACAGG